AAAAGUGAUAAAACAAUUUAAUGCUGGUAUACGUUUUUGUAAGUUAUUUUUUCCACUAUUAGUAUAAAUGAUUACUUUAUUCCACAAUAUAACAUUUAAUAAAAAAUUUGUAAUGCUUAUUAAAGUCAUAUUAAUACAGCUAACAGAUCAGGGUUGACAUUUUCCAUUCAUCACUCUGUAGCUGGGACAUUCGCAUUAUAUCCUAUUGUGAAAAUUUCAUAACUCAAUACUACAUUUUUGAGACAAAUGAAAUGGACUCUAUGUUGAGUAUUUCAGGCAACUAAUCAGCUGAGUUGAAUGAAAAAUCUACAACUGUAUGUAACAUUUAUUAGUUGAUGGCAAAUAUGUUCAUUAUUUGUAAGAAUCAACAAUUACGUAGAAAAGGAACAAGCCAUACAUUUUAAAAGACAAAAUGGAGAA
RNAcentral lists this long non-coding RNA (420 nucleotides) under Bos taurus (domestic cattle). RNAcentral describes it as "long non-coding RNA NONBTAT023824". Lineage: Eukaryota; Metazoa; Chordata; Mammalia; Artiodactyla; Bovidae. The record is from RNAcentral.